GUCUACGGCCAUGUCACCCUGAAUAAGCCGGCUCCUGUCUGAUCUUGAAAGCUAAGCGGGGUUGGGCCUGGUUAGUACUUGGAUGAGAGACCACCUAGGAAGUCCAAGUGCUGUAGGCG
Molecule: ribosomal RNA, 119 nt
Filed under: Pteropus alecto (black flying fox)
Lineage: Eukaryota; Metazoa; Chordata; Mammalia; Chiroptera; Pteropodidae
Source: RNAcentral